Molecule: long non-coding RNA, 1338 nt
Organism: Athene cunicularia (burrowing owl)
Lineage: Eukaryota; Metazoa; Chordata; Aves; Strigiformes; Strigidae
Exons: 2
Source: RefSeq, a predicted model, not a curated record
CGGUGUGCUUUGAGAAGUUUCUGUUAGAAAUAUUCUGAGGCUUGCUGGUUUCUUUCUCCAGCUUGCAAACACAGAGGAGUAUAUAGACGGUGCGUUGUCUGGACAUCUGGGUGAAGUUUUGAUAAGGUGCAAUAACGUCUUGUACAUCAGAGGUGUGGAAGAAGAGGAAGAAGAUGGAGAAAUGAGAGAAUAGGUGUUUUGUAUAUCUGGAAAUAAACCUUUUUCUUUUUUUUGUUUUUCUAUAAUUUUGUAGUUAUGUAUUCUUUUUCAUUUUAUUUUAAUAUGGGGAAGUUAACUCUUGGAAAGUCUUUUUAAGUCUUAAGACUAAUCUUUAUUGGUGUCUAAAAAACUAAUGUUGGAGGAAUAGGCAAUUAGUUCAAUUUAAAACUGAAAAUAUUAGAAUGAAAAGUGAAUAUUUAAAACCAAAAAAACCCAACCACCCACAACUUUUAAGUAUUACCAAUGUCAACAAAUGUUGUAACUGUCAAGGGAAAUACCUGAAUUUAAGUGAUUCAUUGAAUAAAUUAAAUCUUCAAAGUUGUGUAUGCCAAAAGAAAAUAGAUGGUUCAUCCAUGUAUCAGCUCAGUUUAGCGUCAGUGUCAGUACUCUGCCAUUAGGUAGUUAUGCUGAAUGCAGACUAGUGUAUAACAGAAAUUGAAGAAGUUUUCAUCACCUGUAUGUGACUCAUGUGUUACUCGAAGCUGUGCUGCCGAGUAGAUUGACGGAGCUGCAGGAAUAGCCUUUUCUCUCCAUAAUGAUAAUAUGGGGUGUGGAAUGAGCAACAGAAAAACUUUUAAAAUAUCAGCAGACAGCUGAUGAUUUGGUAAUGAUCCCUUCAGCUCUGAAGUGGUGAAUUAAAGAGGAUGCAGCUAUAAUGCUUUGUAGCCUUAUUUCAGUAGAAACUAUGUUUCACCUCUGUGAAAAUCUGUAUUUACACGAACCUCAUUCUUAGCUGUCUUUUCCACUUUAACAGCUGAAGACCGAACAAAAUACCAGUUAUUUUCCUAUGUGAAAUACAGGAAAAUAUGGCAGUCUACAUGUUGUACAGCCUGUAUGUAGUUACUAUUUAAAUACACUUAAUCUUUAAAUCUGGUCAUAAUAUUUGGAAAUAGUUAUGAAGACCUCACAGCAGGUGAGAUGUGGAGAUCUGUUAUACCCCAGUGUCUGCUACUUUGAGUCAUGAAGCUUGAAGUGUGGCUGUACAGUUGUUAUUAAGAAAUGACAAAUCUGCAUUGACUUUGUAGACAAUAUCCACACAAACAAAAGCCUCCUGGCAGCUAUGCUGCACAAUACAUACACUGCACAGUAUGAGUGUACUUUCCCAGUCUCUGUCAUAAA